RNAcentral lists this ribosomal RNA (142 nucleotides) under Escherichia coli. RNAcentral describes it as "partial 23S ribosomal RNA". It matches the Rfam family "Bacterial large subunit ribosomal RNA", at positions 2789 to 2925 of the family's 2925-position model. RNAcentral also lists the same sequence under 4 other names. The record is from RNAcentral. Lineage: Bacteria; Pseudomonadati; Pseudomonadota; Gammaproteobacteria; Enterobacterales; Enterobacteriaceae.
GAAACUUGCCCCGAGAUGAGUUCUCCCUGAGACUUUAAGUCUCCUGAAGGAACGUUGAAGACGACGACGUUGAUAGGCCGGGUGUGUAAGCGCAGCGAUGCGUUGAGCUAACCGGUACUAAUGAACCGUGAGGCUUAACCUU